AUGAUCACGGGCUCGGGCGUGUACCACGUCGUGGAGACGAUGGCGCCGCUGUACACGGCGGCGGCGCUGGGCUACGCGUCGGUGCGCUGGCUCAAGGCCUUCUCCGAGGAGCAGUGCGCGGGGAUCAACCACUUCGUCGCCACCUACGCCCUGCCGGCGCUCGUCUUCGACAUGGUCUCCACCAACGACCCCUACGCCAUGAACGUCCGCCUCGUGGCCGCCGACACGCUGCAGAAGGGGGCCAUGCUGCUAGGCCUCAUGGCGUGGGCCGCGUGGCCCUCAUCCCGCUGCCGCGGCGAGAAACCGGGCGGGGGCGGCGGCGGCGGCUGCAACGUUGCGGUCUCCCCGCUGCAGUGGGUGGUGACCGCCUUCUCCGUGGCGCAGCUGCCCAGCACCAUCAUCAUGGGCGUGCCGCUCCUCGGCGGCAUGUACGGGCCCGCGUCCAAGGACCUCAUGAAGCAGAUCGUCGUGAUGCAGUUCUGCCUCUGGUACAACGUCGUCAUCUUCAUGUACGAGUACAUGGCGGCGACGGACGGCAGCACCAAGGCCGGCCCCGGGUCGCCGGAGAAACGCGCCAUUGCGGCAGUUGAGCGAGCCCACCAAGUAACCGUGAACGUUGAAAGCACGGAGCACACCAGACAACAAGGCAUGGCCGUGGCUGGCCAGCAGGCGGCGGCGGCGCUCACGACGGAGGUGUGUGCUGGUGAAGAUGAUGAGGGCGCGGAGGCAGAGGAUGACUCGCUGCCGGCGUCUCCAUCGAUGAGGCAUAUCGCUUUCAUGACAGGGAAAAAGGUUCUCAGGAUUCCGAAUACCUAUGCUAGCUUCCUUGGCCUCGUCUGGGCUCUAAUCACUUUCAAGUGUGGUAUCAAGAUGCCAAAAAUAAUCCUCGAUUCUUUGUUAACCAUACAAACUACAACAAUUGGUCUAAGCAUGUUCUCAUCAGGGACGCUCAUGGCGCCACAACCACAGUUCAUUCCUUGCGGCUACGCGAUCGCAAUGGUUUCAUUGGUCCUGAAGUUUCUGAUAGGUCCGGUGGCAAUAUUGCUCGCUUCGCUGGUCGUUGGUAUGCACGGCACCCUGCUAUGCAUUGCUGUUGUACAGGCGGCACUGCCAUUGGUCGUCGCUUCAUUUGUGUAUGCUGAAGAGUACAAGGUCCAUGCAGACAUCAUGAGCACAGGGUAA
RNAcentral lists this ribosomal RNA (1182 nucleotides) under Triticum aestivum (bread wheat). RNAcentral's name for it is "partial small subunit ribosomal RNA". Lineage: Eukaryota; Viridiplantae; Streptophyta; Magnoliopsida; Poales; Poaceae. The record is from RNAcentral.